This 492-nucleotide ribosomal RNA is filed under the name uncultured bacterium. RNAcentral's name for it is "partial 16S ribosomal RNA". It matches the Rfam family "Bacterial small subunit ribosomal RNA", at positions 29 to 507 of the family's 1533-position model. The record is from RNAcentral.
AGUGAACGCUGGCGGUAGGCCUAACACAUGCAAGUCGAACGGCAGCACAGUAAGAGCUUGCUCUUACGGGUGGCGAGUGGCGGACGGGUGAGGAAUACAUCGGAAUCUACUUUUUCGUGGGGGAUAACGUAGGGAAACUUACGCUAAUACCGCAUACGACCUACGGGUGAAAGCAGGGGAUCUUCGGACCUUGCGCGAUUGAAUGAGCCGAUGUCGGAUUAGCUAGUUGGCGGGGUAAAGGCCCACCAAGGCGACGAUCCGUAGCUGGUCUGAGAGAAUGAUCAGCCACACGGGAACUGAGACACGGUCAAGACUCCUACGGGAGGCAGCAGUGGGGAAUAUUGGACAAUGGGCGCAAGCCUGAUCCAGCCAUACCGCGUGGGUGAAGAAGGCCUUCGGGUUGUAAAGCCCUUUUGUUGGGAAAGAAAAGCAGCAGGUUAAUACCCCGCUGUUCUGACGGUACCCAAAGAAUAAGCACCGGCUAACUUCGUG